This 468-nucleotide ribosomal RNA is filed under the name uncultured bacterium. RNAcentral's name for it is "partial 16S ribosomal RNA". It matches the Rfam family "Bacterial small subunit ribosomal RNA", at positions 28 to 507 of the family's 1533-position model. The record is from RNAcentral.
GACGAACGCUGGCGGCGUGCUUAACACAUGCAAGUCGAACGGAAAGGCCCUGCUUUUGUGGGGUGCUCGAGUGGCGAACGGGUGAGUAACACGUGAGUAACCUGCCCUUGACUUUGGGAUAACUUCAGGAAACUGGGGCUAAUACCGGAUAGGAGCUCCUGCUGCAUGGUGGGGGUUGGAAAGUUUCGGCGGUUGGGGAUGGACUCGCGGCUUAUCAGCUUGUUGGUGGGGUAGUGGCUUACCAAGGCUUUGACGGGUAGCCGGCCUGAGAGGGUGACCGGCCACAUUGGGACUGAGAUACGGCCCAGACUCCUACGGGAGGCAGCAGUGGGGAAUAUUGCACAAUGGGCAGAAGCUUGAUGCAGCAACGCCGCGUGCGGGAUGACGGCCUUCGGGUUGUAAACCGCUUUCGCCUGUGACGAAGCGUGAGUGACGGUAAUGGGUAAAGAAGCACCGGCUAACUACGUG